AUCUAUUUUUUUUUUUUUUUUUUUUUUUUAGAGCCAGUAUAUUUUUUUGCU
This 51-nucleotide non-coding RNA is filed under the name Octactis speculum. The record is from RNAcentral. Lineage: Eukaryota; Dictyochophyceae; Dictyochales; Dictyochaceae.